GGUAUUAUUACCGAGUGGAGAAAGUUUAAAAAAAAAAAAAAAAAGUGCAAGAGCUAGGAUUCAAACCCAGCUUCUCGGGCCCAAGUUGUAAUCGGCCCAACCAACCAACUGAGCUACACGAUUUUUGUUAACCUUAUAUGGAGCGAAUAAUAUCUAAGCAGUAGUAAAUGAAUAGAGAAUAAAUAGGAAGAAAAAUAGUUGCAGCUGAGACUCGAACCCGCGAGCCGCGUAUUAAGCAGAACGCAGCCAACCAAUUGUGCCAGCGGCUAUUGUUAAUUAAGGAGAGAACGGACAAUAUUUAAGGGUUAACAGAGAACAAAUUACCUAGGUUAUAAAGAGAGGACUUUAGUGAUUUUCGGACAAAAAACCUAAACUCCUCUUCUCUCUCGCGACGGCGCCGACUCUUUCGGGCGAUUUUCUUUCUCGGGCGAAAAAGGGGCGACGGCGCUAGGGCUCGUCUCCGGCGGCCGGCGAGGACUUCUUUCCGGGAGUUGUUCGCGGAUUCGUGGUCUCCUCGUCAAGGAGAACACGCGGAUAGGAAGGGAUCGCCGAGACCUCCACUUCAUCCAAACCGUAGAGCACUUCCCCUUCGGUUGUAAGUUCAAGAACACAAGAUGUCGAGAAGAGGACGUCCCCGUACCGCUCGUGUUGAGGACCAUGUUCAGGAGAAUGAGGUGCCAGGCUCAACUGAGCCCAAUCUUUCUGAAGUUGUUGCCCAACUUCAGAAACAAGUAGCUGAACAGCAGCAAGUAAUUGCCAAUCUGAUGGCAAAUCAGCAACCAGUCCCUCCUACUCCUCAAACAGU
Molecule: long non-coding RNA, 805 nt
Organism: Zingiber officinale
Lineage: Eukaryota; Viridiplantae; Streptophyta; Magnoliopsida; Zingiberales; Zingiberaceae
Exons: 3
Source: RefSeq, a predicted model, not a curated record